AGACCCGAAACCCGGUGAUCUAGCCAUGGGCAGGUUGAAGGUUGGGUAACACUAACUGGAGGACCGAACCGACUAAUGUUGAAAAAUUAGCGGAUGACUUGUGGCUGGGGGUGAAAGGCCAAUCAAACCGGGAGAUAGCUGGUUCUCCCCGAAAGCUAUUUAGGUAGCGCCUCGUGAAUUCAUCUCCGGGGGUAGAGCACUGUUUCGGCAAGGGGGUCAUCCCGACUUACCAACCCGAUGCAAACUGCGAAUACCGGAGAAUGUUAUCACGGGAGACACACGGCGGGUGCUAACGUCCGUCGUGAAGAGGGAAACAACCCAGACCGCCAGCUAAGGUCCCAAAGUCAUGGUUAAGUGGGAAACGAUGUGGGAAGGCCCAGACAGCCAGGAUGUUGGCUUAGAAGCAGCCAUCAUUUAAAGAAAGCGUAAUAGCUCACUGGUCGAGUCGGCCUGCGCGGAAGAUGUAACGGGGCUAAACAAUGCACCGAAGCUGCGGCAGCGACACUGUGUGUUGUUGGGUAGGGGAGCGUUCUGUAAGCCUGUGAA
Molecule: ribosomal RNA, 546 nt
Filed under: Escherichia coli
Lineage: Bacteria; Pseudomonadati; Pseudomonadota; Gammaproteobacteria; Enterobacterales; Enterobacteriaceae
Description: partial 23S ribosomal RNA
Rfam family: Bacterial large subunit ribosomal RNA
Source: RNAcentral